GGAGGGUGCAAGCGUUAAUCGGAAUUACUGGGCGUAAAGCGCACGCAGGCGGUUGUUAAGUCAGAUGUGAAAUCCCGAGGCUCAACCUCGGAACUGCCUUUGAUACUGUCAGUCUAGAGUCUGUGAGAGGAUGACGGAAUACCCAGUGUAGAGGUGAAAUUCGUAGAUAUUGGGUAGAACACCGGUGGCGAAGGCGGCUCACUGCCGCACGGAACUGACGCUGAGGCGCGAAAACGUGGGGACCAAACAGGAUUAGAUACCCUGGUAGUCCACGCCGUAAACGAUGAGUCAUGUUGCUGGGGUUCGGCCUUCGGUGACGCAGCAAUCGCAUUAAGCAGUCCGCCUGGGGAGUACGGCCGCAAGGUUAAAACUCAAAGGAAUUGACGGGGGCCCGCACAAG
RNAcentral lists this ribosomal RNA (400 nucleotides) under unidentified marine eubacterium. RNAcentral describes it as "bacterial SSU rRNA". It matches the Rfam family "Bacterial small subunit ribosomal RNA", at positions 527 to 929 of the family's 1533-position model. The record is from RNAcentral.